GCGAACGCUGGCGGCAUGCCUAACCAUGCAAGUCGUACGGAGAGUGGGGCAACUCACUCUCAGUGGCAAACGGGUGAGUAACCUCCUGAAUAACCUGCCUUUGAGAAGGGGAUAACUGUCCGAAAGGAUAGCUAAUACCCUAUAUUGCCUUUUGUCACUAAGGCAAAAGGUGAAAGCGAGGCUGUCAAAGGCUUCGGCUCAAAGAGGGGUUCGCGUCCUAUCAGGUAGUUGGUGGGGUAAUGGCCUACCAAGCCAAUGACGGGUAGCUGGUCUUAGAGGAUGAUCAGCCACAGUGGGACUGAGACACGGCCCGCACCCCUACGGGGGGCAGCAGUGGGGAAUCGUGGGCAAUGGGCGCAAGCCUGACCCCGCAAUGCCGCGUGAGGGAAGAAGCCCUUCGGGGUGUAAACCUCUGUCAGAUGGGAAGAUGAGACUAGGGGCUAAUACCUCCUGGUCUUGACGGGACCAUCAGAGGAAGGGACGGCUAACUACGUGCCAGCAGCCGCGGUAAU
This 512-nucleotide ribosomal RNA is filed under the name uncultured bacterium. RNAcentral's name for it is "bacterial SSU rRNA". It matches the Rfam family "Bacterial small subunit ribosomal RNA", at positions 29 to 524 of the family's 1533-position model. The record is from RNAcentral.